GUCAUGUGUGUCAAAGCCAAGCUCUCCAGCGAAUCUCUGUGUUCUGCAGUCUGGGUUUUGCAAUCUGUGUUGUGUGUUCUGACCUGCCUAGAUCUCACUGUUUAUAUGCUUGGAUUCUCCGCCAAGCACCCUUUUGGAUUUGAUUGCCUGUCUGACUGAUUUCCUGGUUUUGAUCCAGCCAGUCUACCGAGGAAACACACUUUGCCUGAACUGUGUGCGUGUCAUGCUUUUGGGUCCGAGUCAGUGCUUAAGCCUUACAGUCAGUCUCUUGAAAAAGACAAAUGUGACUGCCUGCUUGAAGUAAAGUAAUACAAUAAACUAAUGUGUUGGUUUCAGGCCAUAGCUUCGGAGAGCUAAGAUGUUACUUGUCACAUCAACAACCAUUAGAGACUGUGCCUACAACAAAACGAGCCAUAAAUUUCCUCCAUCAUGCACUCUUUCUCACCGCGGUCACCAGGGACUCCAUCUCUACAAAGCACAGCCACUAUAGUGACGUGAACGGGACACCCGGGGGGAUGUGUAGAGUCUGCAUGCAGCGUUUUCUGCCACUCGUGUCCCCGGGUAACUUCACUUCCUGGUCCAGUCAUCCCCUGUGAUCGUCGGAUUGUGUCCAAUCACCUGCACCUCCCUUGUGUAUUUAAGCAGUGUGUGUUGUUUGUCACUUGUGGCGUCAUUGUCUCUUGUCAC
Long non-coding RNA from Gasterosteus aculeatus aculeatus (three-spined stickleback), 687 nucleotides. The record is from Ensembl. NCBI's taxonomy places the organism in Eukaryota, Metazoa, Chordata, Actinopteri, Perciformes, Gasterosteidae.